AAAAAAAAAUGAUAAAAUUAUCAAAGCAUGCUGACACAUUGCAGCUUAUUAGUCAGCGUACACUUUUUAAUGUUCUGGCAAGAGUCAUAUUACUUGAUUCGCGUCGAGUUCGCAUUUUUUGCCCAAUUGCCAAACGAUACACGGCGAAAUCGGCCUACAAUCGUAUGAUCUCACUCGGCAUUUAUUACGAAUCACAAAUCCGAGCUGUUUACCAAGCACGCGCGCGUCGAGAGAGGACCAGCGUUUCGGUCUCCAGGCACUUGUCACUCGGAACGGAAUGCGUAGACGCAUUUCGAAUCGGCCGAGAGUCGAGAAUUCCAGUCCGCCUAUUUAGAGUAGACCGGGAGAAACGUAUAUAUUUAACGCGCGCAAGAGAAUUUCAGAUAUCUCAUCUUUGUUUCAACGGCAACAGGAAUAUCCGUACAAUUCUACGAAUCAAAUUGCUUAUUGACGAGCGGAUUAAACGUUUUUCGAUGCCGAUUAAUCUCUCACGGUUUUUGACUAGAAGUGGCUUUUGCUUUUCCAUCCACAAAUUAUGCUUUUUAAUUUUGAAUAUUUAACGACGUUCAUUCUGAUGACGUGUAAAGAAGAAUGUAAUAAAAGCAAGUGUUUUUCAGGCGAUUUCGCAAUCGAUGUGUUCAUGUGAGACGAACACAAAGUUGAAGGAUAUGAAACGCUAGACUAGAUCGGACGAACACGCUCUAUUUCCAAACUGGACACGCUCAUCAUAUUGCAUAUACGUUGAAAUUAACAACUCUCUUUAAAGAUGCAUAUACAUAUUACACAAAACUCAUCCAAGACUGUACAAUAGAAUUUACAGUGACAACGACGUUAAAUAUAUUCACAUUUGUUUGCACAUUCAAAAUAAAGGAUCCUCUUUCUCUCUCUUUUCUCGUAUUUUCAUUGCUUGCAUUUUAAAAAUACAAUAUUAUUGCAUUAAUGGCACAUUCUUUGGUUAAUCUGAAGUCUGAUUUUUAUCAGUAAAAAUAUUCAAACAUCAAUCGUCUCUUAAGUAAAUCGCGAUCAAAAAUAGGGUAUUUUUUUUGCGAAUUAAGUUUUACAAAUGCGAAAAUUUUAUCUCCGGCAAAAGCCCGAGACUUUGAAAAAUAUUUAAUGUCAAAGAUUGGAAAAAUAAUAUUUUCUUUGGGAAAGGACUAGAGAUCGACCAAAGGAUUUUCCACUGCAAAUUUAACGACGAAUCGUCCCAGGACACACCGAAACCGAUACGGAGGUUCCGAGCGAAAUUCCUGCAAAUUG
Molecule: long non-coding RNA, 1257 nt
Organism: Camponotus floridanus (Florida carpenter ant)
Lineage: Eukaryota; Metazoa; Arthropoda; Insecta; Hymenoptera; Formicidae
Exons: 3
Source: RefSeq, a predicted model, not a curated record